UUAAAAAUGUAAUGCAAGUUGCUUUGGAUAAAAGCGUCUGCUAAAUGACCUGUG
This is a regulatory RNA element of Gasterosteus aculeatus (three-spined stickleback), 54 nucleotides long. It matches the Rfam family "UnaL2 LINE 3' element". From Rfam's summary of the family: The eel long interspersed element (LINE) UnaL2 and its partner short interspersed element (SINE) share a conserved 3' tail containing a stem-loop that is critical for their retrotransposition. Presumably, the first step of retrotransposition is the recognition of their 3' tails by UnaL2-encoded reverse transcriptase. The solution structure of a 17-nucleotide RNA derived from the 3' tail of UnaL2 was determined by NMR. NCBI's taxonomy places the organism in Eukaryota, Metazoa, Chordata, Actinopteri, Perciformes, Gasterosteidae. The record is from Rfam.